AUGAACGCUGGCGGCGUGCCUAAUACCUGCAAGUCGCGCGAACAGACGAGGAGCUUGCUCCUCUGACGUUAGCGGCGGACGGGUGAGUAACACGUGGAUAACCUACCUAUAAGACUGGGAUAACUUCGGGAAACCGGAGCUAAUACCGGAUAAUAUAUUGAACCGCAUGGUUCAAUAGUGAAAGACGGUUUUGCUGUCACUUAUAGAUGGAUCCGCGCCGCAUUGGCUAGUUGGUAAGGUAACGGCUUACCAAGGCAACGAUGCGUAGCCGACCUGAGAGGGUGAUCGGCCACACUGGAACUGAGACACGGUCCAGACUCCUACGGGAGGCAGCAGUAGGGAAUCUUCCGCAAUGGGCGAAAGCUUGACGGAGCAACGCCGCGUGAGUGAUGAAGGUCUUCGGAUCGUAAAACUCUGUUAUUAGGGAAGAACAAAUGUGUAAGUAACUAUGCACGUCUUGACGGUACCUAAUCAGAAAGCCACGGCUAACUACGUG
RNAcentral lists this ribosomal RNA (496 nucleotides) under uncultured bacterium. RNAcentral describes it as "partial 16S ribosomal RNA". It matches the Rfam family "Bacterial small subunit ribosomal RNA", at positions 29 to 507 of the family's 1533-position model. The record is from RNAcentral.